Molecule: ribosomal RNA, 413 nt
Filed under: Fusarium falciforme
Lineage: Eukaryota; Fungi; Ascomycota; Sordariomycetes; Hypocreales; Nectriaceae
Description: partial large subunit ribosomal RNA
Rfam family: Eukaryotic large subunit ribosomal RNA
Source: RNAcentral
UUUUGGUGAGGUGCCUUCCGAGUUCCCUGGAACGGGACGCCAUAGAGGGUGAGAGCCCCGUCUGGUUGGACACCGAUCCUCUGUAAAGCUCCUUCGACGAGUCGAGUAGUUUGGGAAUGCUGCUCUAAAUGGGAGGUAUAUGUCUUCUAAAGCUAAAUACCGGCCAGAGACCGAUAGCGCACAAGUAGAGUGAUCGAAAGAUGAAAAGAACUUUGAAAAGAGAGUUAAAAAGUACGUGAAAUUGUUGAAAGGGAAGCGCUUGUGACCAGACUUGGGCUUGGUUGAUCAUCCGGGGUUCUCCCCGGUGCACUCUUCCGGCUCAGGCCAGCAUCAGUUCGCCCUGGGGGAUAAAGGCUUCGGGAAUGUGGCUCUCUCCGGGGAGUGUUAUAGCCCGCUGCGUAAUACCCUGUGGC